Molecule: long non-coding RNA, 610 nt
Filed under: Ananas comosus (pineapple)
Lineage: Eukaryota; Viridiplantae; Streptophyta; Magnoliopsida; Poales; Bromeliaceae
Description: long non-coding RNA (ACOM_LNC032250)
Source: RNAcentral
UCCAAAAAACCAAUUAAAACAAUAAUAAUAAUAAGGGUAAACUUCAAAUAUUACUCGUGAAUUUUGCAUUUUUUCAUUUUUAGCGCCUUAUAGUUUAAACUGUAUCACUUAGUAUUCUGUGAUUUUAUUUUAGUUUCUUUCUGCAAGCAUCUCUAUUAACUCUCUGUUAAGUCAUAUACAAAAAACUUAAGACACCCCAUCUAUGAUUUAUAGAAUAUUCACUUUAAUAUUCUGUGGCUUAUCAAAAUUUUUACUUUAGUACUCUAUAGUUUUAACUUUAUCAUUAAUUUAAUGAAAAAAAUCAACGAAAAGGAUUACGGAAAGAGAAAAAUGAAACCACACGAUGGUGUUUAAAGUUUUCAAUAAUAAUAAUAUUAAUAAAUUAUGCUGAUAGUAUUAAGCAUUUUGUACUAUCGAGUUUUCGGCCGUUGAAUAAAAGGUAGUUAGGAUAAUAAUAGUUCCCUAAGGUUGAAUGGGUAGUUAGUUGAAUAUAUAAUCUAACGGAUGAAAAUAAUCGAAGGAUAGAUCUAACGGCAGAAAAUUCGAUAGUAUCAAUAAUAACUUGAUAAUAUCAAUAGUAUAUAAAUUUAUUUAUAUCUUUUAGUAGUGA